CCUGGCUCAGAACGAACGCUGGCGGCAGGCUUAACACAUGCAAGUCGAGCGCCCCGCAAGGGGAGCGGCAGACGGGUGAGUAACGCGUGGGAAUCUACCCUUUUCUACGGAAUAACGCAGGGAAACUUGUGCUAAUACCGUAUGAGCCCUUCGGGGGAAAGAUUUAUCGGGAAAGGAUGAGCCCGCGUUGGAUUAGCUAGUUGGUGGGGUAAAGGCCUACCAAGGCGACGAUCCAUAGCUGGUCUGAGAGGAUGAUCAGCCACAUUGGGACUGAGACACGKCCCAAACUCCUACGGGAGGCAGCAGUGGGGAAUAUUGGACAAUGGGCGCAAGCCUGAUCCAGCCAUGCCGCGUGAGUGAUGAAGGCCCUAGGGUUGUAAAGCUCUUUCACCGGUGAAGAUAAU
This 404-nucleotide ribosomal RNA is filed under the name Ensifer meliloti. RNAcentral's name for it is "Sinorhizobium meliloti bacterial SSU rRNA". It matches the Rfam family "Bacterial small subunit ribosomal RNA", at positions 18 to 452 of the family's 1533-position model. Lineage: Bacteria; Pseudomonadati; Pseudomonadota; Alphaproteobacteria; Hyphomicrobiales; Rhizobiaceae. The record is from RNAcentral.